AUUUAUUACAGAAUGGGAGUGGGCCAACUUGUAUUAUUUGUGGAAUUUCUUAUCGAAAUUCUCUGCGUUGGAGCCCACCCCAACCUGCUCAUUAUUGUAAGCUGAAUUUCCAUAAGCUUCUAUGUUGGGACCCCCGACCAGAAUUGAAAAAACCUAGUUAUAAGCGCAUUUUGUUCGGUUAACUACAGCUAAUAUAACAUUGUGGAGCCUAUGACAUUGAUUUAU
This 225-nucleotide non-coding RNA is filed under the name Staphylococcus aureus subsp. aureus NCTC 8325. RNAcentral describes it as "Staphylococcus sRNA 35 (srn_0335)". It matches the Rfam family "Staphylococcus sRNA 35 (srn_0335)". From Rfam's summary of the family: Other name: Srn_0335, SAOUHSCs258. Northern blot transcript confirmed in exponentially growing and stationary cells in three cultivation media. The record is from Rfam by way of RNAcentral. Lineage: Bacteria; Bacillati; Bacillota; Bacilli; Caryophanales; Staphylococcaceae.